RNAcentral lists this ribosomal RNA (636 nucleotides) under uncultured bacterium. Its description in RNAcentral is "bacterial SSU rRNA". It matches the Rfam family "Bacterial small subunit ribosomal RNA", at positions 607 to 1244 of the family's 1533-position model. The record is from RNAcentral.
GCUCAACCGGGGAGGGUCAUGGAAACUGGGAAACUUGAGUGCAGAAGAGGAGAGUGGAAUUCCACGUGUAGCGGUGAAAUGCGUAGAGAUGUGGAGGAACACCAGUGGCGAAGGCGACUCUCUGGUCUGUAACUGACGCUGAGGAGCGAAAGCGUGGGGAGCGAACAGGAUUAGAUACCCUGGUAGUCCACGCCGUAAAUGAUGAGUGCUAAGUGUUAGGGGGUUUCCGCCCCUUAGUGCUGCAGCUAACGCAUUAAGCACUCCGCCUGGGGAGUACGGUCGCAAGACUGAAACUCAAAGGAAUUGACGGGGGCCCGCACAAGCGGUGGAGCAUGUGGUUUAAUUCGAAGCAACGCGAAGAACCUUACCAGGUCUUGACAUCCUCUGACAACCCUAGAGAUAGGGCUUUCCCUUCGGGGACAGAGUGACAGGUGGUGCAUGGUUGUCGUCAGCUCGUGUCGUGAGAUGUUGGGUUAAGUCCCGCAACGAGCGCAACCCUUGAUCUUAGUUGCCAGCAUUUAGUUGGGCACUCUAAGGUGACUGCCGGUGACAAACCGGAGGAAGGUGGGGAUGACGUCAAAUCAUCAUGCCCCUUAUGACCUGGGCUACACACGUGCUACAAUGGACAGAACAAAG